Acipenser ruthenus (sterlet) is the source of this 277-nucleotide long non-coding RNA. RefSeq lists it as uncharacterized. The record is from RefSeq and is a predicted model, not a curated record. NCBI's taxonomy places the organism in Eukaryota, Metazoa, Chordata, Actinopteri, Acipenseriformes, Acipenseridae. The transcript has 3 exons.
UUUCCUGGCCUGCUCCAGCGUGGACGUGUGUGUGCUUUCCUCUCGCCUCCCGGAACUUCUUGGGAGGAGGAGAGGCAUCGCAGCUGUGCAGUGUGGGAAAAACAUGAACUCCAGAAGAGCUUGCAUUGGGAGUUGUAUGGUGUGGGGGCACAAACUCAAUGGGGAAAUCGCUGCUUCUGAAUCCCAUUAAAACCCGACUCCAGCUCCAAUCUGGUCUGUGAUUUUUAGCUACUGUAUAAACAGCAUCAUGAUCUCUGUCUUUGUCUCUCACCCUUGU